UGCUGGCGGAGUGAGUAUCAGUGUCGUCACCUGCCUAGCAUAACGACCCGGAGAACAUGUUUCAACGCUUGGGGGCGGAGGGUCUUGCGGCUCUGCGCCCCCUUAUCCCAGGAGGCAAGUGUCUUGCGUGUUGCAUUUCGGUGCUCUCGCUCGACCGACCCUCCUGGGCGUACCGAACACCGGCGUGAAUUGCGCCAAGGAACUUGAAUGAAAGAGCGUUCCCCCGCCGUCCCGGAGACGGUGCUCGUGCGGGUGGUUUCGUCGUCUUCAAUAUGUCUAAACGACUCUCGGCAACGGAUAUCUCGGCUCUCGCAUCGAUGAAGAACGUAGCGAAAUGCGAUACUUGGUGUGAAUUGCAGAAUCCCGUGAACCAUCGAGUCUUUGAACGCAAGUUGCGCCCGAAGCCAUUAGGCCGAGGGCACGUCUGCCUGGGGUGUCACAUGUUGUUCCCCCCCCCAACCCCCUCGGGAGUUGGAUGGGACGGAUGAUGGCCUCCCGUGUGCUCAGUCACGCGGUUGGCAUAAACUCCAAGUCCUCGGCGACCAGCGCCACGACAAUCGGUGGUUGUCAAACCUCGGUUUCCUGUCGUGAGCGCGUCAGAUCGAAUGCUCUCCUAAACAAUGCGGUGGAACUGUCGAACAUCAAUGUCUCUGCGCGGCGCAUGACUAAG
Molecule: ribosomal RNA, 670 nt
Filed under: Rosa banksiae var. normalis
Lineage: Eukaryota; Viridiplantae; Streptophyta; Magnoliopsida; Rosales; Rosaceae
Description: eukaryotic LSU rRNA
Rfam family: 5.8S ribosomal RNA (bases 283-439)
Source: RNAcentral